Molecule: ribosomal RNA, 250 nt
Filed under: uncultured bacterium
Lineage: Bacteria
Description: partial 16S ribosomal RNA
Rfam family: Bacterial small subunit ribosomal RNA
Source: RNAcentral
UACGUAGGUGGCAAGCGUUAUCCGGAUUUAUUGGGCGUAAAGCGAGCGCAGGCGGUUUUUUAAGUCUGAUGUGAAAGCCUUCGGCUUAACCGAAGAAGUGCAUCGGAAACUGGGAAACUUGAGUGCAGAAGAGGACAGUGGAACUCCAUGUGUAGCGGUGAAAUGCGUAGAGAUCGGAAAGAACACCAACGGCGAAAGCACUCUGCUGGGCCGACACUGACACUGAGAGACGAAAGCUAGGGGAGCAAAU